This 516-nucleotide ribosomal RNA is filed under the name uncultured Planctomycetota bacterium. Its description in RNAcentral is "bacterial SSU rRNA". It matches the Rfam family "Bacterial small subunit ribosomal RNA", at positions 355 to 869 of the family's 1533-position model. The record is from RNAcentral. Lineage: Bacteria; Pseudomonadati; Planctomycetota.
UCGAGAAUCUUCGGCAAUGGGCGAAAGCCUGACCGAGCGACGCCGCGUGCGGGAUGAAGGCCCUCGGGUUGUAAACCGCUGUCGUAGGGGAGGAAGGCUCCGUGAAGAGCGGGGUUUGACCUAUCCUAGGAGGAAGUACGGGCUAAGUUCGUGCCAGCAGCCGCGGUAAUACGAACCGUACAAACGUUAUUCGGAAUCACUGGGCUUAAAGGGUGCGUAGGCGGCCAUGUAAGUGAGGUGUGAAAUCCCUCGGCUUAACCGAGGAACUGCGCUUCAUACUGCAUGGCUUGAGGGAGACAGGGGUAAGCGGAACUGAUGGUGGAGCGGUGAAAUGCGUUGAUAUCAUCAGGAACACCGGUGGCGAAAGCGGCUUACUGGGUCUCUUCUGACGCUGAGGUACGAAAGCUAGGGUAGCGAACGGGAUUAGAUACCCCGGUAGUCCUAGCUGUAAACGAUGAGCACUUAUCUGGGGAUCCUCCCAUAGGUUCCCGGAUGAAGCGAAAGUGUUAAGUGUCC